Molecule: ribosomal RNA, 252 nt
Filed under: uncultured bacterium
Lineage: Bacteria
Description: partial 16S ribosomal RNA
Rfam family: Bacterial small subunit ribosomal RNA
Source: RNAcentral
UACGGAGGAUGCGAGCGUUAUCCGGAUUUAUUGGGUUUAAAGGGUGCGUAGGCGGAAUAUCAAGUCAGCGGUAAAAAUUCGGGGCUCAACCCCGUCGUGCCGUUGAAACUGAUGUUCUUGAGUGGGCGAGAAGUAUGCGGAAUGCGUGGUGUAGCGGUGAAAUGCAUAGAUAUCACGCAGAACUCCGAUUGCGAAGGCAGCAUACCGGCGCCCUACUGACGCUGAGGCACGAAAGCGUGGGCAUCGAACAGG